UUCUUCCCCAUUUCUUUUAUUUUUUUUUAAUUUUCUUUUAUUUUUGCAACUUUUACGGAGGGCGGUGUAGAGACUUUCCUCUUCAUUUAGGGUUUGCACCUCGAGAGCUUGCGUGAGAUCGGCAAGAAAAGAGCGAUGGCAUCUCCGGCGACGAGUUCAGGGUUGUUCAAGUUCCUGCGGCCGCGCCUCCGCCCUCAGUCGACGGACAUCGUUUCCGCCGCCACCUGGGGAGUCGCCGCCACCGCCUCUGCCCUUUGGCUCAUUCAGCCUUUUGAUUGGUUGAAGAAGAAGCUAUUUGAGAAACCAGAGCCUGAGCAGUGAAUUUUGUCGAGACGUGCAUGGUAGAAAUCUGUGAGAAAUGUGGUACCCUGUUAAGGAUAUCUAUUUUAUGUUUCAGUUUCCUUUGCAAAUGGCGGGAUGAACGGGAAAAAGAUAUGCUGUUUCUUGCUUCGUUGAUGGCCGAACAUCUGUUGUUUUUGAGAUAAUUCCUGUAUCCAACUUCUUAUGUGGUUGUGUUGAAGGGGUUAUGCUUGGUUUGGAAUAACUGACA
Long non-coding RNA from Elaeis guineensis (African oil palm), 550 nucleotides. RefSeq lists it as uncharacterized. The record is from RefSeq and is a predicted model, not a curated record. NCBI's taxonomy places the organism in Eukaryota, Viridiplantae, Streptophyta, Magnoliopsida, Arecales, Arecaceae.